GUGGGGUUGUGGCUCAGUGGUAGAGCACUUGCCUAGCACAUGUGAGGCACUGGGUUCGAUUCUCAGCACCACA
Molecule: transfer RNA, 73 nt
Filed under: Marmota monax (woodchuck)
Lineage: Eukaryota; Metazoa; Chordata; Mammalia; Rodentia; Sciuridae
Description: tRNA.Ala
Rfam family: tRNA
About the family: Transfer RNA (tRNA) molecules are approximately 80 nucleotides in length. Their secondary structure includes four short double-helical elements and three loops (D, anti-codon, and T loops).
Source: RNAcentral